RNAcentral lists this ribosomal RNA (254 nucleotides) under uncultured microorganism. RNAcentral describes it as "partial 16S ribosomal RNA". It matches the Rfam family "Archaeal small subunit ribosomal RNA", at positions 474 to 727 of the family's 1478-position model. The record is from RNAcentral.
CACCGGCGGCUCGAGUGGUGGCCACUUUUAUUGGGUCUAAAGCGUCCGUAGCCGGCUUGGCAAGUCCCCUGGGAAAUCUGGCGGCUUAACCGUCGGGCGUCCAGAGGAUACUGCCAGGCUUGGGACCGGGAGAGGUGAGAGGUACCUCAGGGGUAGGGGUGAAAUCUUGUGAUCCCUGAGGGACCACCAGUGGCGAAGGCGUCUCACUAGAACGGGUCCGACGGUCAGGGACGAAAGCUGGGGGCACGAACCGG